AGGACGAACGCUGGCGGCGUGCUUAACACAUGCAAGUCGAGCGGAAAGGCCCUUCGGGGUACUCGAGCGGCGAACGGGUGAGUAACACGUGAGCAACCUGCCCUUAGCUCUGGGAUAGCUCCGGGAAACCGGAAUUAAUACCGGAUAUUACACCGGCUGGCAUCGGCUGGUGUGGAAAGAUUUAUCGGCUAGGGAUGGGCUCGCGGCCUAUCAGCUUGUUGGUGGGGUAAUGGCCUACCAAGGCGACGACGGGUA
This 255-nucleotide ribosomal RNA is filed under the name uncultured bacterium. RNAcentral describes it as "partial small subunit ribosomal RNA". It matches the Rfam family "Bacterial small subunit ribosomal RNA", at positions 26 to 285 of the family's 1533-position model. The record is from RNAcentral.